RNAcentral lists this ribosomal RNA (280 nucleotides) under Staphylococcus aureus. RNAcentral describes it as "partial 23S ribosomal RNA". It matches the Rfam family "Bacterial large subunit ribosomal RNA", at positions 497 to 780 of the family's 2925-position model. Lineage: Bacteria; Bacillati; Bacillota; Bacilli; Caryophanales; Staphylococcaceae. The record is from RNAcentral.
AGUACCGUGAGGGAAAGGUGAAAAGCACCCCGGAAGGGGAGUGAAAUAGAACCUGAAACCGUGUGCUUACAAGUAGUCAGAGCCCGUUAAUGGGUGAUGGCGUGCCUUUUGUAGAAUGAACCGGCGAGUUACGAUUUGAUGCAAGGUUAAGCAGUAAAUGUGGAGCCGUAGCGAAAGCGAGUCUGAAUAGGGCGUUUAGUAUUUGGUCGUAGACCCGAAACCAGGUGAUCUACCCUUGGUCAGGUUGAAGUUCAGGUAACACUGAAUGGAGGACCGAACC